GUGGGUAUAGCUUAGUGGUAGAGCACAUACUUAGCAUGCAUGAGGUCAUAGGUUUGAUCCCCAGUCCCUCCA
This 72-nucleotide transfer RNA is filed under the name Camelus bactrianus (Bactrian camel). It matches the Rfam family "tRNA". From Rfam's summary of the family: Transfer RNA (tRNA) molecules are approximately 80 nucleotides in length. RNAcentral also lists the same sequence under 2 other names. The record is from Rfam by way of RNAcentral. Lineage: Eukaryota; Metazoa; Chordata; Mammalia; Artiodactyla; Camelidae.